Molecule: small nucleolar RNA, 130 nt
Filed under: Gouania willdenowi (blunt-snouted clingfish)
Lineage: Eukaryota; Metazoa; Chordata; Actinopteri; Blenniiformes; Gobiesocidae
Description: Small nucleolar RNA SNORA13 (ENSGWIG00000013971.1)
Rfam family: Small nucleolar RNA SNORA13
About the family: ACA13 is a member of the H/ACA class of snoRNA that guide the sites of modification of uridines to pseudouridines.
Source: Rfam by way of RNAcentral
UGCCUUUAUGUGUUGCCCUGUCAUUUCACCUCUAGUGAUCAGGGUGUCAGAUAAGGCAUACAGUAAACGUUGUGGUGUUUAGUUUAGAGUUACUGGUGACUCCUGAACACAAAUGUCUGCAACAACACGU